GCACNACCGGUGGAGCAUGUGGUUUAAUUCNAUGCAACGCGAAGAACCUCACCUNNUCUUGACAUCCACAGNACUUGGCAGAGAUGCCUNGGUGCCUUCGGGAACUGUGAGACAGGUGCUGCAUGGCUGUCGUCAGCUCGUGUUGUGAAAUGUUGGGUUAAGUCCCGCAACGAGCGCAACCCUNAUCCUUUGUUGCCANCGGUUAGGCCGGGAACUCAAAGGAGACUGCCAGUGAUAAACUGGAGGAAGGUGGGGAUGACGUCAAGUCAUCAUGGCCCUUACGACCAGGGCUACACACGUGCUACAAUGGCGCAUACAAAGAGAAGCGAACUCGCGAGAGCAAGCGGACCUCAUAAAGUGCGUCGUAGUCCGGAUUGGAGUCUGCAACUCGACUCCAUGAAGUCGGAAUCGCUAGUAAUCGUGAAUCAGAAUGUACNCGGUGAAUACGUUUCCCGGG
RNAcentral lists this ribosomal RNA (457 nucleotides) under Kosakonia radicincitans. RNAcentral describes it as "bacterial SSU rRNA". It matches the Rfam family "Bacterial small subunit ribosomal RNA", at positions 923 to 1378 of the family's 1533-position model. Lineage: Bacteria; Pseudomonadati; Pseudomonadota; Gammaproteobacteria; Enterobacterales; Enterobacteriaceae. The record is from RNAcentral.